This 330-nucleotide unclassified non-coding RNA is filed under the name Hevea brasiliensis (rubber tree). The record is from RNAcentral. Lineage: Eukaryota; Viridiplantae; Streptophyta; Magnoliopsida; Malpighiales; Euphorbiaceae.
AAAAAAAAAAAAGAAAAAUAAAAAGGGAUUAGAAAAAUAAAGAGAGAAUUAGAUUAAUUUAAGUAUAAAAAUAUUAUCAUGAACUAAAUAAUUAAUAUAAUUAAAUUAUAAUAAUUAAUUAAUUAAUUUUAUUAAAAUAAAGAGAUUAAAUAUUAAUUAGGUUGAUAUUAUUAAUGAAAAAAUUAAUAAAAGAAUUAAAUAAUUUAAUAAAAAUAAAAUAUAUAAAUAAAAUAAUAUAUUUUUAAAAAUAUAAAAUUAAAUAAUUAAUUUUAUAUAAGGUCGUACAAUUAUUGCAAGUAGGAGGAAGCAGCAUUCCAUUAAAAACAAUAA